AUUGAACGCUGGCGGCAGGCCUAACACAUGCAAGUCGAGCGGAUGAAGGGAGCUUGCUCCUGGAUUCAGCGGCGGACGGGUGAGUAAUGCCUAGGAAUCUGCCUGGUAGUGGAGGAUAACGUCCGGAAACGGGCGCUAAUACCGCAUACGUCCUGAGGGAGAAAGUGGGGGAUCUUCGGACCUCACGCUAACAGAUGAGCCUAGGUCGGAUUAGCGAGGUGGUGGGGUAGAGGCCUACCAAGGCGACGAUCCGUAACUGGUCUGAGAGGAUGAUCAGUCACACUGGAACUGAGACACGGUCCAGACUCCUACGGGAGGCAGCAGUGGGGAAUAUUGGACAAGGGGCGAAAGCCUGAUCCAGCCAUGCCGCGUGUGUGAAGAAGGUCUUCGGAUUGUAAAGCACUUUAAGUUGGGAGGAAGGGCAGUAAGUUAAUACCUUGCUGUUUUGACGUUACCAACAGAAUAAGCACCGGCUAACUUCGUG
RNAcentral lists this ribosomal RNA (484 nucleotides) under uncultured bacterium. RNAcentral describes it as "partial 16S ribosomal RNA". It matches the Rfam family "Bacterial small subunit ribosomal RNA", at positions 30 to 507 of the family's 1533-position model. The record is from RNAcentral.